UGGGAGCAAAAUAAGAAAGAAUUUAUCCUGCGUGCGCGCACAUAUUUCUGUAAGGGCUCGUUUUGGUUAACCAAAUCCCCCCAGGGAUCUCCCCUCCAGGCUCCAGCGCGCACCCCAUUGGUUCUUCGACUUCGGUGAGCAUUCCCCUCCAUCCACUUCCUCCUCUUCUCUCCCUCUUCUGCUCCUAGGUUUCUCUAAAGCUUCCAUCAGAUCUGUGUUACAAGGGGUGUCCUCUGCUCCUAGGGUUCGUGAGGGAAACACACGAAGUGAAGCCCUUGGAGAGAUUCACGUUUCAACCACCUUGCAAGAUCGCAAAUUUAUCUCUAGGAGGUAUGCGUUAUUGCAAUCCAACUUUCUUUUCUCGAACACGCCGAGCGGCGUGUCUGUUAUUGCAAUCCAACUGAAUUUACUGCUUUUUUUUGUAGACCUCUAGAUACCCAACAAAAGCAUGGUUUAAUUCUGUUGCUUGGCUACUGAUCCUGAGAUGAUAAUGUAUUGUGUGUCGGUAAUCAAAAUAAGUCUUGUACCUAAACGUAUCCUUGUCCUAAUUCACAUAAACCUUGAGAUAAAAAUAACUAGAAUAGAGGUCUGCUUGGAUAACCUCAUCCUAAUUCAGGUUAGGGGUUUGUUGUAUUGUCCUGGACAAUGGAGUUUCAUGGUAGCUUGACACAAUAUAUUUCAGAAAUCUGAAGGUUGUAUGGAAGAAGCAUUUAAAAAAUUGUCCGUAAUGAUUUUCAAGCGCAAAUCAGUUUAAUACUUUGAUAUGUUGCUCUGAAUAUCAUCUCGAUCUUAAUUGUUUUGGCUCAUAAAAAAACAAGAUUAUUAUUCUGAAAAAAGGGUACUCAAUUGAAGGCUGGAGAAACUUGCUUCAUAAUUUUACAUAGGCUUUCAGUCUAACGAAUUGUCCAUUUAUAGUGCUCGGAUAAUGUUCAGGUUCCUUCCAAUGCUGCCAUGAAUUCGUGUCUUUUACAGAGACACGAAGUUGUCAAUAUUCAUGCAUCUUACACCAUUGCAUCACAAUGUUAUUUUAAGCUAGACCUGCAACUUUGUAAUUGAACAUUGCCCUUUAUUGUCAACUGACCAUAAUUUUACAUAUAUUUUUUUCAAGGAGGAGACAUAAUUUUAGAUAUGAUGCAUCAUAUUGAACGUUCUCUGGUUAGUGUCCUUCCCCCCUUCUCGGGCGACAAUAUCCGUGUCUUUAACUCUUUAUUGUUAUUGCACAGGAAUUAGGAGAAAAUUGAUGUCUUUGGACUUAUGCUUGUGACAGAUUGGCCUAAGAAAAUAUGAUUUCAUACAAAUGUCAUGCAUCCAUGGAGUAGGUUAUGCUUGCACCCAACAUUUCGUGUGUGGCGGCUAAUGUUGAGAUAUGUGUCGAAUAUGUGUACCCAAAAGCAUGGUUUAAUUAUGUUGCUUGGCUACUGAUCCUGAAAUGAUAAUGUAUUGUGUGUCGGUACACAAAAUAAGUCUUGUACCUAAACGCCUGACAAGUAAAUCAAACCCGUAUCCUUGUCCUAAUUCAGAUAAGCUUUGGGAUUAAAAUUAACUAAAAUAGAGGUCUGUUUACCUGAGAAGUAAUCAAACUUGUAGCAUCUUUAGGAUAACGUCAUCCUAAUUUAGGUUACCGGUUUGUUGUAUUGUCCUGGACAAUAAAGUUUCAUGGUAGCUUGGCACAAUAUAUUUCAGAAAUCUGAAGGUUUAAUAGAAGAACCCUUUUAAAAAGAUUGUACGUAAUGAUUUUCAA
This 1741-nucleotide long non-coding RNA is filed under the name Brachypodium distachyon (stiff brome). RNAcentral's name for it is "long non-coding RNA (BDIS_LNC001261)". Lineage: Eukaryota; Viridiplantae; Streptophyta; Magnoliopsida; Poales; Poaceae. The record is from RNAcentral.